This 270-nucleotide ribosomal RNA is filed under the name uncultured archaeon. RNAcentral's name for it is "partial 16S ribosomal RNA". It matches the Rfam family "Archaeal small subunit ribosomal RNA", at positions 477 to 747 of the family's 1478-position model. The record is from RNAcentral.
CUGCAGCUCAAGUGGUGGCCGCUAUUAUUGGGCCUAAAACGUCCGUAGCCUGUUUAGUAAAUGCUUGGGUAAAUUGUGUAGCUUAACUAUACGAAUACCGGGUAGACUGCUAAACUUGGGACCGGGAGAGGCUAGAGGUACUCCUGGGGUAGAGGUGAAAUUCUGUAAUCCUAGGGGGACCACCAGUGGCGAAGGCGUCUAGCUAGAACGGGUCUGACGGUGAGGGACGAAGCCCUGGGGCACAAACCGGAUUAGAUACCCGUGUAGUCC